This 255-nucleotide ribosomal RNA is filed under the name uncultured bacterium. RNAcentral's name for it is "partial 16S ribosomal RNA". It matches the Rfam family "Bacterial small subunit ribosomal RNA", at positions 524 to 776 of the family's 1533-position model. The record is from RNAcentral.
UACGUAGGGCGCAAGCGUUGUCCGGAAUUAUUGGGCGUAAAGAGCUCGUAGGUGGCGUGUUCGCGUCUGCCGUGAAAGCCCAUGGCUUAACUGUGGGUCUGCGGUGGAUACGGGCAGGCUGGAGGCUGGUAGGGGCAAGCGGAAUUCCUGGUGGUAGCGGUGAAAUGCGCAGAUAUCAGGAGGACACCGGUGGCGAAGGCGGCUUGCUGGGCCAGUUCUGACGCUGAGGAGCGAAAGCGUGGGGGAGCGAACAGG